RNAcentral lists this small nucleolar RNA (84 nucleotides) under Vigna radiata var. radiata (mung bean). RNAcentral's name for it is "snoRNA SNORD25". It matches the Rfam family "Small nucleolar RNA SNORD25". From Rfam's summary of the family: U25 is a member of the C/D class of snoRNA which contain the C (UGAUGA) and D (CUGA) box motifs. U25 is found in gene clusters in plants, and within the U22 snoRNA host gene (UHG) in mammals. Lineage: Eukaryota; Viridiplantae; Streptophyta; Magnoliopsida; Fabales; Fabaceae. The record is from Rfam by way of RNAcentral.
UUCAACUGUGAUGAGCUUAUAGACCUGUAAUGAUUUGCGGCUAUGAUCGCAAACAUAGUUGAACAUCCAAGGGACUAAGUUGUG